CCGCCCCGCGCGCGAGAGGUCCGCUGCCGCGCCUGCCGGCAGCACCGGGAGGGUUUUUUUUUAAGUUAGAAAAUUAAGUUAUAUUUUUACGAUAGAUUUUUAAUUUUGAUUGUUAAGCUAGAAAAUUAAGUUAUAUUUGUAAGUUAGAUUUUUUAGUUAGUUUGUUAAGUUAGAUUUUUAAGUUAGAAAAUGAAGUUAGAAAUUCGUAGGAUGCACCGCCGUCCCCUCCGCCGUCCCGCCGCCGUCCCGCCGCCCGUCACAACCUAGUAGGCACCGCCCGUGGUUCCGGUGAACCGUCCCCGCCUCCGCCGUACCGCCGCCCUGACCGCCGCCGUCACAACCUAGUAGGCACCGCUCGUGGUUCCGGUGAACCGUCCCCGCCUCCGCCGUACCGCCGCCGUCCCGCCUCCGCCGCCCUGAUCGCCGCCGUCACAACCUAGGCACCGCACGUGGAUAUUGUUAGAAAUUCGUAGAAAUUCGUAGAAAUUCAUAGAAAUUUGUAGAAAUUCGUCAAAAUUCGUAGAAAUUCGUAGAAAUUUGUAGAAAUUUGUAGAAAUUCAUAGAAAUUCAUAAAAAUUCAUCAAAAUUCAUAGAAAUUCAUAGAAAUUCGUAGAAAUUCGUCAAAAUUCGUAGAAAUUCGUAGAAAUUUGUAUAAAUAUUCCGGACUUUGUACGAUUCAUGUUAUUUUAUGAUUUCAUUAUAUACAUGUAUGAUUCCGGACUUUGUAGGACUUUGUAGAAAUUUGUAGUAAGACGAUUUCUAUGACUGUCAUGUAUGAUUCCAUGUAUGUUUCCAUCGAUAGUUGAAAUGGCAGAUGAUGAGACCGCAAGGUAUAUCAUGGAGCAGAUAAUCGCUGGUGAUGGUAGUGGCGACAACGUUCCACUAUCAUACACGGAUGAAGAGGGCACCCAGGCGGACAUGUUCCUCAACAUGUCCGCCGAUGGGAAUGAAGAGCAACAGCCGCAACAACAACUUGCCAUGGCGGAAGGUUCCGGCGAGGUAUAUACAACCAUUCUUGUAUUG
RNAcentral lists this long non-coding RNA (1023 nucleotides) under Setaria viridis. Its description in RNAcentral is "long non-coding RNA (SVIR_LNC008877)". The record is from RNAcentral. Lineage: Eukaryota; Viridiplantae; Streptophyta; Magnoliopsida; Poales; Poaceae.